CCAGACUCCUACGGGAGGCAGCAGUGAGGAAUAUUGGUCAAUGGGCGCGAGCCUGAACCAGCCAAGUCGCGUGAGGGAUGACGGCCCUACGGGUUGUAAACCUCUUUUGCCGGGGAGCAACGGGCGCCACGUGUGGCGCCACUGAGAGUACCCGGAGAAAAAGCAUCGGCUAACUCCGUGCCAGCAGCCGCGGUAAUACGGAGGAUCCGAGCGUUAUCCGGAUUUAUUGGGUUUAAAGGGUGCGUAGGCGGUUUGAUAAGUUAGAGGUGAAAUGUCGGGGCCCAACCCCGAAACUGCCUCUAAUACUGUUGGACUAGAGAAUAGUUGCGGUAGGCGGAAUGUAUGGUGUAGCGGUGAAAUGCUUAGAGAUCAUACAGAACACCGAUUGCGAAGGCAGCUUACCAAACUAUAUCUGACGUUGAGGCACGAAAGCGUGGGUAGCAAACAGGAUUAGAUACCCCGGUACCA
RNAcentral lists this ribosomal RNA (468 nucleotides) under uncultured bacterium. RNAcentral's name for it is "partial 16S ribosomal RNA". It matches the Rfam family "Bacterial small subunit ribosomal RNA", at positions 331 to 797 of the family's 1533-position model. The record is from RNAcentral.